This 253-nucleotide ribosomal RNA is filed under the name uncultured bacterium. Its description in RNAcentral is "partial 16S ribosomal RNA". It matches the Rfam family "Bacterial small subunit ribosomal RNA", at positions 524 to 776 of the family's 1533-position model. The record is from RNAcentral.
UACGGAGGGUGCAAGCGUUAUCCGGAUUCACUGGGUUUAAAGGGUGCGUAGGCGGUUUGGUAAGUCCGUUGUGAAAUCCUGCAGCUUAACUGCAGAACUGCCAUGGAUACUAUUUAUCUUGAAUGUCGUGGAGGUUAGCAGAAUAUGUCAUGUAGCGGUGAAAUGCUUAGAUAUGACAUAGAAUACCCAUUGCGAAGGCAGCUAACUACGCGAUAAUUGACGCUGAUGCACGAAAGCGUGGGGAGCAAACAGG